RNAcentral lists this ribosomal RNA (67 nucleotides) under Cereibacter changlensis. RNAcentral describes it as "partial 16S ribosomal RNA". Lineage: Bacteria; Pseudomonadati; Pseudomonadota; Alphaproteobacteria; Rhodobacterales; Paracoccaceae. The record is from RNAcentral.
CUGGCUCAGAAUGAACGCUGGCGGCAGGCCUAACACAUGCAAGUCGAACGGGACCUUCGGGUCUAGU